Molecule: ribosomal RNA, 1587 nt
Filed under: Salmonella enterica
Lineage: Bacteria; Pseudomonadati; Pseudomonadota; Gammaproteobacteria; Enterobacterales; Enterobacteriaceae
Description: bacterial LSU rRNA
Rfam family: Bacterial large subunit ribosomal RNA
Source: RNAcentral
AAGGUGGCCUGUGAGGGUUGCUGGAGGUAUCAGAAGUGCGAAUGCUGACAUAAGUAACGAUAAAGCGGGUGAAAAGCCCGCUCGCCGGAAGACCAAGGGUUCCUGUCCAACGUUAAUCGGGGCAGGGUGAGUCGACCCCUAAGGCGAGGCCGAAAGGCGUAGUCGAUGGGAAACGGGUUAAUAUUCCCGUACUUGGUGUUACUGCGAAGGGGGGACGGAGAAGGCUAUGUUGGCCGGGCGACGGUUGUCCCGGUUUAAGCGUGUAGGUGUGUGUUCCAGGUAAAUCCGGUUCACUUUAACACUGAGGCGUGACGACGAGGCACUACGGUGCUGAAGCAACAAAUGCCCUGCUUCCAGGAAAAGCCUCUAAGCAUCAGGUAACAUCAAAUCGUACCCCAAACCGACACAGGUGGUCAGGUAGAGAAUACCAAGGCGCUUGAGAGAACUCGGGUGAAGGAACUAGGCAAAAUGGUGCCGUAACUUCGGGAGAAGGCACGCUGACACGUAGGUGAAGUGAUUUACUCAUGGAGCUGAAGUCAGUCGAAGAUACCAGCUGGCUGCAACUGUUUAUUAAAAACACAGCACUGUGCAAACACGAAAGUGGACGUAUACGGUGUGACGCCUGCCCGGUGCCGGAAGGUUAAUUGAUGGGGUCAGCGCAAGCGAAGCUCCUGAUCGAAGCCCCGGUAAACGGCGGCCGUAACUAUAACGGUCCUAAGGUAGCGAAAUUCCUUGUCGGGUAAGUUCCGACCUGCACGAAUGGCGUAAUGAUGGCCAGGCUGUCUCCACCCGAGACUCAGUGAAAUUGAACUCGCUGUGAAGAUGCAGUGUACCCGCGGCAAGACGGAAAGACCCCGUGAACCUUUACUAUAGCUUGACACUGAACAUUGAGCCUUGAUGUGUAGGAUAGGUGGGAGGCUUUGAAGCGUGGACGCCAGUCUGCGUGGAGCCGACCUUGAAAUACCACCCUUUAAUGUUUGAUGUUCUAACGUGGACCCGUGAUCCGGGUUGCGGACAGUGUCUGGUGGGUAGUUUGACUGGGGCGGUCUCCUCCUAAAGAGUAACGGAGGAGCACGAAGGUUGGCUAAUCCUGGUCGGACAUCAGGAGGUUAGUGCAAUGGCAUAAGCCAGCUUGACUGCGAGCGUGACGGCGCGAGCAGGUGCGAAAGCAGGUCAUAGUGAUCCGGUGGUUCUGAAUGGAAGGGCCAUCGCUCAACGGAUAAAAGGUACUCCGGGGAUAACAGGCUGAUACCGCCCAAGAGUUCAUAUCGACGGCGGUGUUUGGCACCUCGAUGUCGGCUCAUCACAUCCUGGGGCUGAAGUAGGUCCCAAGGGUAUGGCUGUUCGCCAUUUAAAGUGGUACGCGAGCUGGGUUUAGAACGUCGUGAGACAGUUCGGUCCCUAUCUGCCGUGGGCGCUGGAGAACUGAGGGGGGCUGCUCCUAGUACGAGAGGACCGGAGUGGACGCAUCACUGGUGUUCGGGUUGUCAUGCCAAUGGCACUGCCCGGUAGCUAAAUGCGGAAGAGAUAAGUGCUGAAAGCAUCUAAGCACGAAACUUGCCCCGAGAUGAGUUCUCCCUGAGACUU